UACCCCGUGGUGUAAUGGCAGCACAGGUGAUUUUGGUUCAUCUAGUCCAGGUUCGAGUCCUGGCGGGGUAA
RNAcentral lists this transfer RNA (71 nucleotides) under Phycisphaeraceae bacterium. RNAcentral describes it as "tRNA-Gln". It matches the Rfam family "tRNA". From Rfam's summary of the family: Transfer RNA (tRNA) molecules are approximately 80 nucleotides in length. Their secondary structure includes four short double-helical elements and three loops (D, anti-codon, and T loops). Further hydrogen bonds mediate the characteristic L-shaped molecular structure. tRNAs have two regions of fundamental functional importance: the anti-codon, which is responsible for specific mRNA codon recognition, and the 3' end, to which the tRNAs corresponding amino acid is attached (by aminoacyl-tRNA synthetases). tRNAs cope with the degeneracy of the genetic code in two manners: having more than one tRNA (with a specific anti-codon) for a particular amino acid; and 'wobble' base-pairing, i.e. permitting non-standard base-pairing at the 3rd anti-codon position. Lineage: Bacteria; Pseudomonadati; Planctomycetota; Phycisphaerae; Phycisphaerales; Phycisphaeraceae. The record is from RNAcentral.